RNAcentral lists this ribosomal RNA (249 nucleotides) under uncultured bacterium. RNAcentral describes it as "partial 16S ribosomal RNA". It matches the Rfam family "Bacterial small subunit ribosomal RNA", at positions 57 to 305 of the family's 1533-position model. The record is from RNAcentral.
GCAAGUCGAGGGGUAACAUUGGAGCUUGCUUCACAUGACGACCGGCGCACGGGUGCGUAACGCGUAUACAAUCUACCUUACACUGAGGGAUAGCCUUAGGACACGUAGAUUAUUACCUCAUAGUAUUGUUUGUUCGCAUGAUUAGAUAAUUAAAGGUUACGGUGUAAGAUGAGUAUGCGUCCUAUUAGUUAGUUGGUAAGGUAACGGCUUACCAAGGCAACGAUAGGUAGGGGUCCUGAGAGGGAGAUC